AUUGAACGCUGGCGGCAGGCCUAACACAUGCAAGUCGAGCGGAUGAAGGGAGCUUGCUCCUGGAUUCAGCGGCGGACGGGUGAGUAAUGCCUAGGAAUCUGCCUGGUAGUGGGGGAUAACGCCCGGAUACGGGCGCUAAUACCGCAUACGUCCUGAGGGAGAAAGUGGGGGAUCUUCGGACCUCACGCUAUCAGAUGAGCCUAGGUCGGAUUAGCUAGUUGGUGGGGUAAAGGCCUACCAAGGCGACGAUCCGUAACUGGUCUGAGAGGAUGAUCAGUCACACUGGAAGUGAGAAACGGUCCAGACUCCUACGGGAGGCAGCAGUGGGGAAUAUUGGACGAUGGGCGAAAGCCUGAUACAGCCAUGCCGCGUGUGUGAAGAAGGUCUUCGGAUUGUAAAGCACUUUAAGUUGGGAGGAAGGGCAGUAAGUUAAUACCUUGCUGUUUUGACGUUACCAACAGAAUAAGCACCGGCUAACUUCGUG
Molecule: ribosomal RNA, 484 nt
Filed under: uncultured bacterium
Lineage: Bacteria
Description: partial 16S ribosomal RNA
Rfam family: Bacterial small subunit ribosomal RNA
Source: RNAcentral